RNAcentral lists this ribosomal RNA (482 nucleotides) under uncultured bacterium. RNAcentral's name for it is "partial 16S ribosomal RNA". It matches the Rfam family "Bacterial small subunit ribosomal RNA", at positions 28 to 523 of the family's 1533-position model. The record is from RNAcentral.
AGUGAACGUUGGCGGCGUGGAUUAGGCAUGCAAGUCGAGCGAGAACCGUAGCAAUACGGGGACAGCGGCGAAAGGGACAGUAAUGUGUAGGUACCUACCCCGAGGUCUGGGAUAGCUGCGGGAAACUGCAGGUAAUACCGGAUAAUGUCUUCGGACCAAAGGUGUGAUUCCACCUUGGGAGGGGCCUGCAUCCUAUUAGCUAGUUGGCGGGGUAAUGGCCCACCAAGGCAACGAUGGGUAGCGGGUGUGAGAGCACGACCCGCGUCAUUGGGACUGAGAUACUGCCCAGACACCUACGGGUGGCUGCAGUCGAGGAUCUUCGGCAAUGGGCGAAAGCCUGACCGAGCGACGCCGCGUGCGGGAUGAAGGCCUUCGGGUUGUAAACCGCUGUCGUAGAGGAGGAAAUGCAGGGGGGUUCUCCCUUCUGUUUGACCUAUUCUAGGAGGAAGGACGGGCUAAGUUCGUGCCAGCAGCCGCCGUAA